AGGGUGUAAACGCUGCAGACUUGGUGUUGGACCUCGGGUGCUCAGUGCCGGAGAGAAGUUGUUAAGUCUGCUACUUGGGGAGUACGUCCGCAAGGAUGAAACUUAAAGGAAUUGGCGGGGGAGCACCGCAACGGGAGGAGCGUGCGGUUUAAUUGGAUUCAACGCCGAAAAACUCACCAGCAGCGACUGUUACAUGAAAGUCGGGCUGAAGACCCUGCAUGACUAGCUGAGAGGUGGUGCAUGGCGUAGACGUCU
Molecule: ribosomal RNA, 255 nt
Filed under: uncultured archaeon
Lineage: Archaea
Description: partial 16S ribosomal RNA
Rfam family: Archaeal small subunit ribosomal RNA
Source: RNAcentral